AGGAACAUGAAUACAAUCGCAUGCAAUAAUAUCAUACGGUAACUACCAUAAACUAACCACCAUUGGAGGGACAUAAGCUAAAACACUAUGGGUAUCCCUGCUGGCCCACACCCAACCCCGAUAGAGGCGUGCGAAGAACUAUAGGAGCCCCUAACCUACAACCCUGAUUCUAGACCUCCAGACUCUCAUAUCAAGGGUCAUGUCCUCGGAAACCUGCAUUCUAGUCAUGUCCAGCCUAAUCACCUCUCCCCAAUGCUUCUUAGGCCUCCCUCUUCCUCGCCGACCGCCAACAAUCUCCAGCCGCUCGCAGCUCCUCACCGGGGCAUCGGGNNN
RNAcentral lists this long non-coding RNA (333 nucleotides) under Nicotiana benthamiana. RNAcentral describes it as "long non-coding RNA (NBEN_LNC017113)". Lineage: Eukaryota; Viridiplantae; Streptophyta; Magnoliopsida; Solanales; Solanaceae. The record is from RNAcentral.